AGUGAACGCUGGCGGUAGGCCUAACACAUGCAAGUCGAACGGCAGCACAGUAAGAGCUUGCUCUUACGGGUGGCGAGUGGCGGACGGGUGAGGAAUACAUCGGAAUCUACUUUUUCGUGGGGGAUAACGUAGGGAAACUUACGCUAAUACCGCAUACGACCUACGGGUGAAAGCAGGGGAUCUUCCGACCUUGCGCGAUUGAAUGAGCCGAUGUCGGAUUAGCUAGUUGGCGGGGUAAAGGCCCACCAAGGCGACGAUCCGUAGCUGGUCUGAGAGGAUGAUCAGCCACACUGGAACUGAGACACGGUCCGGACUCCUACGGGAGGCAGCAGUGGGGAAUAUUGGACAAUGGGCGCAAGCCUGAUCCAGCCAUACCGCGUGGGUGAAGAAGGCCUUCGGGUUGUAAAGCCCUUUUGUUGGGAAAGAAAAGCAGCAGGUUAAUACCCCGCUGUUCUGACGGUACCCAAAGAAUAAGCACCGGCUAACUUCGUG
Molecule: ribosomal RNA, 492 nt
Filed under: uncultured bacterium
Lineage: Bacteria
Description: partial 16S ribosomal RNA
Rfam family: Bacterial small subunit ribosomal RNA
Source: RNAcentral